AAAAAAUAGAUAAAUUUGAAGCUGUGUUUUUAAAGCCACCAGCGAGCUAUGGAAACAACAGUACACCGUGAUCUAUAAUUCUACGAGCCAACAACCACCAGCCAUUUCCCCACUUUAUGGGGCAUGGAGAGAAAAGACUGAGUCUAUGCAUGGGCUGAACAUUGAGCUGGGGGAGGGGCGGCAGGGAAGAGAGGGGUAUAAAAGAAUAACUGAAGCUGUUGAAGAACCAUAUCAGAAGAAAAUGGCAACUCUCCCAGUGUACACUCUCUUGAGUGUAGAGAGAAAGUUAGACAUACGAAAUGGUCCUUUUUUUUUUUUUCUCAAUGGGAAAGGAAUAUGUGGGAGGCAAGGAAGCUAGAAUGAUAAUUAAUAAGAGGCAAGUUACAAAUUUAGUUUUAAAGGCUUUAAUUGGCUUUAUUUCUGGUUUUUGAUCCAGGAAACCUUUUAUUCCAGAGAAUAGAGUAAGCGUUCUGAUGAGCUGAGCAGAAGUAGCAGGCUUUACGGACAGAGCAUCCCCGAGGGAGGCAGAAGCAAGGAGCAAGGCAUAGAUUUGCGCCUCAGCUUUGGUUCUAAAGAUGCUUUCCCUAAAAUCUCGGGCCAGGAGACAGAGCAACAGCAAGGAUCUCAGGAUGAAAUCAAUGUGUUCCCUAUCUCCUGUGACACAAUGACCAGCUUCGGUCAGGUAGGAGAGGCCAUUCGGCCAUCAUCUUGGAAGAUGUGUUAUCAAGUCUAAUUUUCCCCCUUUGCUAUUUAAGAUAUGUAUGGAUAUAUGGGUAAAUGUUUGUUUGUUUGUUUGUUUGUUUGUUUGUUUUAUAGAACCAUUGGCUUAAAAAAACCUUAAAGGACCUAUAUAUAGUGUUUUGUUUACACAACCCACUGGUUUCGAGUUGAGGAAACAAGUAUGUAUAAAAUUCUAGAAGACAUCAGUGGCCCAGCCGGGAAGGGAAGAACUGUAGAGUUCAAGGUUUCCAAUUGACUCUGGAGAUGGGAGUCCCACUAGGAAAGCAGCCACAGACUCCGAUGUCUGGGAGAGUGAAGGCCCUUCGGUUGGCCAGCCCAUCACAUCAUCAUCUCCCUUCCACAUUCCGCUCCCUUUCCUGAUGAUGGUUCAGCUGUCCACACACCUGCUCAGGCCACUCUUCCUUCCUCGUUGUCACCUUUCAUGAACAUUCCAGUAUCAUCCUGCCCUCGCCUCAGGACUUCAGCAUCUCGUGUAGUCGAUGCCUCUGAGCUUAGAACCUGUGUUUUCCCACCAUGAUCUUUGCAACGCAAACCAUUUUAGAUGACGCUAUUACGAGCUACAUAGAUGCAUUUGGCACCAUGUGUGUUAAUUAAUAACUGUGUAUCUCAGAGAGUCUUUCAUACCCCCCGAGGCCUGUCUCAUCGCCAAUAAAAUGAGCAUAAAAAUAUUUAGCCACGGGGUUGUUCUCAUGAACCACAAUAAUAGCAUAUAUAAAAUGUUCAGAACCCAUCAUGUGAUCAAUGAAUGUAACCUGCUUCUGCCAGUCUCAGUUCUCCAGUAGACUGCUAGGAAGCUGGAGGACAUCUCUGUCAUUAACAGAGAGUCUUCCCAUCGGUGUAGCAGACCCUAAGGUGCCUAUACUUAGCGUCCACCCAUUUGGGGCUCUUCACUGACCAUGAUAUAAGCUCAGACCCACAGGGACACUGCUGCUUAUCCAGCUUAUAUGGCUCAGGUUGCCCACAGUAGUCAAAGCUUCUGGAAAUGCUUUCCUUGUGUUCCUCCGAGGCCUUGUUUCUACUGCAUGCUGCUUGUGCUAUUCUCAUACAAGGAUCCAUCCUCCCAUCCAUUUCUACACCAAACACAAGCAAGAUAGAAGAACUGGACAGCAAGAAUCUGUGUUCCUCAGGUAUCUGCAGAAGAUUUGAAGGGUCUCAAGGAGCGAUUCUACUGAGAACUAGGAACAAGCUACCAUCCAUCACCCGAAACGUUCAGAUCUUUCUCUCUUCCUUUCUUCCUUCCUUCCCUCCUUCCUUCCUUCCUCCCUCCUUCCCUCCUUCCUUCCCCUUUUCCUUCCAUCCUCUAUCUUUCUUUCUUUCUUUCUUUCUUUCUUUCUUUCUUUCUUUCUUUCUUUCUACUUUCUUCCUUCCUUUCUCCCUUUCUUUCUUCCUUCCCUCCCCUUCCUCCUUCCUUCCUUCAUUUUUCUUUUUUCUUUCUUCCUUCCUUCCUUCCUACCCCUCUCUCCCUCCCUCCCUCCUUCCUUCCUUCCCUUCCUUUUUCUUUCUGUCAUUGUUGCUGAGAGGGGCUCUUUUGAGGCUAGGCUAGCCUAGAAUGUGCUUUAUAGCCUUGCGAUUGCAUCCCCAGGACGGGUCGUAAGAGGCAUGCGCCUGUUCCCUUAGCUACUUCUUUAUGAACAGUAUCUUCCCACUUCUCAGAGCACCCAGGUCACAUCUAUAUUCCUUGGUGUGUGUGUGGGGUCUCAUUGUCUGUCUUUUAGCAUCUAUUAAAGCAUGUCUUAAGUACUGUGUACCCUCCAGAGAGAAAUUUCAGUAGUAGUCUCUUUAAAAAUGAUGUUUUUUCAUCUAGUAAAAUGCAGAAGAUUUUGUCACCAAAGUCCCACUUAGACAAAAAAAAAUCUUCAAAGGUAGUCUCCGUGUAUUCUUUUUUUUUUUACACCCCCUCAUUCCAUCAGAUGUAGGACAUGAAGACACUAUAUAUACAUUCGAUGAACCAAAAUUACUGAAUACAAAUAGAUCUUAGAGAACUGUCACAUAUUCCUCUGUCAAAAAUUAUCAGAGUGCUAAAUCUAUGAAGGUCUCAGAAGGCAUGCUGGGUUACUUUCUGGGUGCCCUGAGACAGGAGUCAAAGGAAGCACCAAUGACCUGCUUGACAUAGCUUUGUAAUAACAUCACGGAUCUGGAAAGUGUGCUUUUUGGAGGCAUCCACAACACAUGACCUGUGCUCCCAUUUCCAAACCAGAAGGCCACCCCGCUGCUCCCUCUCCUGUUGCUUAUUCAUGUAAGUGAGGCCUCUCAGGACGGUGGUUAUCAGAAAUCUGAUAAAAGUCCUUGGCCCCUCAGGCCUUUCAUUCACAAAGAAACAGUACCCCCCCCUUCUUCCUUUCUUUCCUCUUCCUUUCCUUCCCUUUUUUUGAACUAAAUGUACGGUGCUUUUCUCCCUACAGAAACCCCUCAGAGAUAGCUAAGUGGGCUGACUGGAAACACCUGCACUUUGCCUGAGUCCCCACCCUGUCGUCCUUCUCCACCAUUAGCAGAAGUUGAACAAGAACACCUGCACAGAGCCACAUGUCCCUCCAAGGAAAAACACUGCCAAUCUUCUUUUCCUUGUUGUCUUUGAAAAUCGGCCGUCACAGCAACACAAAAGCGUCUCUCCCUUCAAGUUCUUUAAUCAUAUUAUUUAAGGGAGAUAAAAAAGAAAACAAAACAGAACCCAAGAAACGAAUGUAGUUCAUCCCGGGAGCCUCUGAGAUGUUCACAUAACGGUCUGAGGGCACCGGAUCUCUUUCCUGCCUUUCAUGUGGUUUUUCACAGCAAGGUUUCUGGCAUGGAGCACAGCUCCUUGAAGAAGCUGACACUCUUCAUCAAGAGAUGCCUUCUUAGUGGUAGUUUCCAGUGAGAAUUGGGGGUGGGGAGAGGAUACCAAUUUCAAGUCUGGGAACAUCUAAGAAAGUUACUAUAUGGGACUCAAACCUUCUGGAGACACCUCCACAACAGUCUGUUCCACCUAGAUAAUGUUGCUAAGGACACUAGGUGACCAUUUCUCCCAUCCUUUCCUGGCAGUACAAGUCAGCUCUGGACACACAGCUGCCCAGCUAAUAACUAUACUUCCCAGCUUUCCUUGUACACGUAAUAAUGAAGCUGUAACCAAGUCAAAGCAUCCCACCUCUACCCUUUGCCCAUGUUUGUCAGUUUGCUUGAUGGGGCUAAUAUUGGAGAAGUCGUGACCAUGGACAUGGAAUGCCUAGGUGACUAUGGGAAUGAGGCUUUGCUAGACUGCGGUGGGGGACACUGUGGAGUUCUGCCAUCAGUCUUUCUUCCACUGAACGAGCGUUUUGAUAAUUUCUUGAAAAAGUUCUUCCUUUUAGUGUGGGCCUCCGGGGGCAUUCCCUUCUAGCUGAAUAUUUAAGAUUUUUGAAUCAAUCAGACAUAAUACUUUCAAAACAUACUGAUUAAGGACAGCAGAAAGUCCCACACAGUCCCAUACGCUGUCGACCCACGUUAGCGUGCUUCAUAUGACCUAGAUAAAGGUAAGGCCCAGGAAUUUAGGCCUUGGCAUAAGAGGCAGCAUCAUAAUGGACAUUGAAGAUGUAAGAAAUUUCUAAGUGGCCUCUGGAACACGGAUGAUUAUAUGACUGAGGGCCUAGACAGAUGUCAUUAAAACUUCUUUCCAAGGAACAGAUGUGCCCAUGCACAGUUUAGUUGAGCUAAGGCCUCACAUCAAAAGGAUGUGCCAAUAUCACACUGUUUGUUCUCAAAGUACCAUGAACGACUUUGAGGUUUCCUUUCAUUAGAGUGAAAAUGUCUUCAAAACCAUCUCUUUUUGACUUACUGAUUGCAAUGUCUGAUGAACCAUCAGCCUACCCUGCAGUAUCAUUCCAGGACUGAGGUUUCCCUUGGAGCACACUUUGUAAGAAGUAUUUGUUACACUAACUGUUGCUGCUUUGACCCAGGUCUGCGCACAUAAGGAUGGACUAUUGUCACAGUGUCCUCCUAUAACUACUUUCUCUUUCUUUUGCCUCUUGCUGACUCCAGUCUACUCUCUAUGCAACUACUUUGAAAUGCAAAGACAAUAGAGCCUAUUUUCUGUCUAAAACUGUUGGCCCCUAUCACCUGCAGGAUGAUGUAGAACACAGCACUGGCCUUCUCUGCUUCUCCCCCUGCUUAGGAUGCCUUUGGUCAAUGAGUUUGAUUAACUUCUCAUUCCUCAGAGCCUCAUCUUUGAUGACCUCUGAGAGCCAGCGCAGUUCAUCAUCUCUCUUAUAUUACCUUGCACAUACUUUUGUCUUACAACCUCUCACACCACGUGACCCAGGAAACUUGUCUAUUUACAGGUUAUCUUCUUAAGAGCAAGAACUACAUCUCCUCCCUUUUUCAUCUGUGUGUGCUUAGUACCGGACAUCAUGCUGGCACACAGUGAAACCUCAAUAGACGUUUUGGCAAUGUAAACGCAUUGUUGUAAAAAUUAGCAACUUCCAGGCUGGAGAGAUGGCUCAGCGGUUAAGAGCACCCGACUGCUCUUCCAGAGGUCAUGAGUUCAAUUCCCAGCAACCACAUGGUGGCUCACAACCAUCUGUAAGGAGAUCUGAUGCCCCCUUCUGGUGUAUCUGAAGACAGCUACAGUGUACUUAUAUAUAUAAUAAAUAAAAUAAAUCUAAAAAAAAAAUUAGCAACUUCCAUUUGCAAACACAAAGUGAUGGACCAGUGGUUCUCAACCUGUAGGCUUUGACCCCUUCAUGGGGGUUGCCUAAGACCUUUGGAAAAUACAGAUAUUUACUUUACAACUCAUAACAGCAAACUCACAUUAGGAAGUAUCAAUGAAAAUAAUUUUAUGGUUGUGGGGGAGGUCACCACAACAUGAGGAAUUAUAUCAAAGGAUCUCAGUAGUAGGAAGGUUGAGAACCACUGUGAUAGACGAAUAAAGAGUGGGUUUUCAGGAAUUUAGGUAAUUUCCUUUACAGCCCUGUGUAGAGGAAAGGUCAUGUUGCAAAAUGCCUGUGUGUCUAACUUGGAUGUGGUGAGGCUCUCCUCCAUCUUUGGAGGUAGAGGAACCUUUGCUUGAACUAUGAGUUAACUGGAAUUCUCUUAAAAACCCAUAUUUGGGAGUCCUUAGGAUGUGACUUUAAUUAGAGAUGAGAGCUUUACAAAAAUAAUCAAAUUAAAACUAGGGUGUUGUGUAGUACUGUGGCUUAAUUACUACCCCUACCAACCCAUAUGUUGGCGUUCUAAACAACACUAGAAUGGUAUUUGGGAACAGGCUGCUAUGAAGGUAAUUAAAUUUAAAUGAGGUCACUAGUGUGGCUCUUAGCUAACGUGACUGGUAUCCUAUUAAAGAGGGAAAGGCGACAUACAGUGAUGCCCAGAAGAGAGAAGCCAUCUGCUAGUCAAGGAGAGGGCUUAGGAGAAACCUGACAACACCUUGAUCUUCAACUUCUAGACUCUUAGCAUCCCUUAUUAACUAACAGUUCUUGUUGACAUACCCAAGAACUGAAUCAUAAAUGUCACCUCUGGAAGGAACAUUAACAAUCUAUUCUUUUCCUCUUCAAGAUGGCAAAACAGAGGCCCAAGAGAGAAAAGUCUUGUCUAGUAGCUUUACUGGCUGGAUGAGGUCUCCAUAGACUUCUACUCAGAGUACCAUGUUUCUCCACUUCGUGUUCCUCCAUACCUUAUAGCAGCCUGCUUCAUACAUACAUACAUACUUACAUACAUACAUACAUACAUUCAUAUACACAUACAUUCAUACAUACACACAUUCAUUAUACAUACAUACAUUCAUUAUACAUACAUUCAUACAUACAUACAUGCAUUCAUAUAUACAUACAUGCAUUCAUAUAUACAUACAUACAAUCAUAUAUUCAUACAUACAUUCAUUAUACAUUCAUACAUUCAUACACACAUUCACUCAUACACACAUUCAUAUAUACAUACAUACAUUCAUACAUACAUAAAUUCAUACAUACAUCCAUACAUACAUACAUACAUUCAUACAUACAUUCAUACACAUACAUUCGCUCAUACACACAUUCAUAUAUACAUUCAUACAUAUAUUCAUACAUACAUACACUCAUACAUACAUACAUAUAUGCCUACGUACAUACAUAAGUGUAUGAGUCUUCCUCAGGACAGCUUAAAUGAGUAAAAUCACCUUCAGUGUUAGCUUAGAAUAUCCUGAGCCAAAUGCCCUUCAGCAUAAACUUUACGGCGUGUGGAGGUUUUAUUAUGCAUUAGCUGUAUUCUUGUUGAGCUAUCUGGAAGCAUGGGAGGGGAACUCAUCUCCAUUUUUAGACAGGUUAGUGUAAAUUUUUUGCUCCCCUGUUCCUAAACAGACUUUUACCAAGAGAGCUAGCCUGGCACAAUGGGUAUUUUUCCCUGUCUCCAAGGAAAACAACUAGUUCUUUUUUUCAUCAUGAUUCCUGAGGUGUUCUAGUGCAAUCACUCUUCCAUGACUACCUGGAAGGGUUUCGGUACCAGACAGCUCAGCUCUUACUCAAGCCUUUCAUAGUUUUUCUCAUUCUCUUUACUUCAUUCAUAGUGCGAAGAUGUUCACACUAGAGUAUUGGAUGGCUGUGAGGGUUGAUGAUUGACUGUUUCCAUGACAUGGCUGCAUUAGGUUCGUGACAGAACUCAAAGGAAUAUCCUGGGGUACAGCAGGGGUGUUUCCUAUCUGAGAAUCUUCUGGGGGCUGGGGUCUCUGUAACAGGAAGUGCUAUGCUGAAGACAUAGUGUAGUUACAGUCCCCUCUCCUCUGCCCCCACCUGUCUGCUGUGUCACAUAGAAUCCACAUUUACUUGGGUUGGAGUCUCCUUGAGAUGACUCUUGCCCAAUGUCAGGGUAUAAGAAAAGCCUUUUGGGGCUCUCCCUCAACCGUCCUGUGACAGAGACACACAGCCUGGCACGAGAGAGCAGUGGUCUGUUCUGUAUCUUUGUGGUUAGAUUAGCUUACGUAAUCAGCAUUCUCCUCCAACAGAGCAACGAGGCUUUCUACCCCGGAAAGGAGAAACCUACUCAGAAUAUUUAAGUUUAGGCAUUGAUUCCACUAGCUGAAGUUGAAGAAGCUUGGAGAGAUGCUUAGUUUCUGUGAACUUCAAGUUCCUCCUCUGUAAAAUGAAGCUGGUGGUAGCACCCGCUCGGCAAAUUUAUUGUGAACCAAAGAGACGGUACAGUUAAAAGUAGCUUGCCAGUAUCACGCUGAUUCCUCUGGUCCUCUAGCUGGCUCUAAGAUUCACAGUCCACUCACAGCACGAGCCCCUCCCUUACAGCCUGCACAUCAUUACUGAGCAAAUGUCUCAUAUCUUAUAUUUACAAUGCAUUGUUGAGGUGCAGAGAUCAGACAUCGUAUCUACUCCCUGAUCUUGCAGCCUAAGUACUUAUUGGUGGUCCAGAACAUAAGUAGAGAAGUAUUUGGGGGGUGGGGUGUAUUUAUAGAUGGCAAAGAACUGUUUCACCCUAACGGAGCAUGGAUUUAGGACCUAGGACCUACAUCCCAAAAUCUUUUUCCUACAUAUCCUUGAACACUGGAUUCAAGGCAGAAAGCACAGAGAAAGUCUUGCUCUUGGAGACCUGAGUCUGGCUCAGAUUCUGGGUCCUCCCUCCUUCCCUGCUUUUUCCUUAACUGUGAAUCAAAUGGGGCCAACACGGAAAGCACCUAGAUGUACCUGGAGACUUUGGCAAUAUAAAGCAAAGGUGAAAUAUUGUGGGCAAGGAUUGGCUGUUGAAGUAGUGCUCUUGGCCUAGCUAGCAUUGGAUUUGCCAUGGAUGAGGUCCCCGAGUGCUCACCUGAGUAGGAUUCUGGCCUGCAUUGCUGCCAUAGGUUGAAGGUCCGAGAGCGACUGCUGACAGGAUUGCUCGCUGUGCAGUUGUAGAUGCUGUCCUGAUGCUGGUUGCUAAGGAUGAGGUGCAGGAGGUGGGAGCGGUUGGCUUGGCUUGGCAGACGGGUACCUGCCUCAUCACCCCAGCUGUAAGACACAUUAUCCCCUCUCUUCACCGUGCAGGCUAGCAGCAAGUGGCAGGUCCCAUUCUCCUCCUGGGUUUUGUUUAGCACUUUAAUCUCUGGAGUGGAGACCUGUUCUGUCAGGAGGAGGAACAAGGGAGCCAUCACUGAAACAAAGGUCCCGGAAGUGUUGACUUAUUUGUCAAGAGAAAGUCUAGCCAGAUGUCAUUUUUCCCCUCACUGAGAAACCUUGAGUGUGAGUUGUCUCUGCUAGGGAGCUGUAACUCAUAUCAUCCCUCACCCCACCCUGCUCAUUCCAGGAGCCUCUUCAGAUAGAACAGAGAAGCAGUUGGCGUACGGUUCCUUUCUGUUAGGAUGCUACAUGCCUCUCCUGAUGCUUGCCGUCUAGAUUGCUCUGCCUUGUUCUAUCAGGAAUAAGAUAGGUUGACUGGCUUAUGAGUACAACAUCCUAGACUGUGAGCUAAAAGCAUGAACUUUCAGUGGUAGGCUUUCAUUGAGCACAUGUGUACGCAUGUGUGCCUGCGUGCGUGUGUUGUGGACGUGGGUGGUGGUGGUGCAAGGACUUUGUGGGUCUGAAGCAGGGGUAAAGUUUUAAACCUUAGCUACGGGUCCUAUCAACCAGACAAUUCCAGUGCCACAAGAUAGGCAAGGUAAAAGGGAGGUCACGUCUGUGUUUAAUCCAGCUGCUACAGGAUCAGCACAUCGCUGGCGUUUCAUAUCCAUCUUCUUUCAUUCUCUCAACUAUUAUGACUAAAAGUAAUCAUUCCCAUUUUGCAAAUGAGAAAAUGAGUCUUCAGAGAAACAGUAUGACUUAAAUGACUAUGUAGCUUCUAAGUGGCCAGGCUGAGAUAAAUACCUUAGUCUGAUUCAGAAAUCAGCCUCUCUCUCUCUCUCUCUCUCUCUCUCUCUCUCUCUCUCUCUCUCUCUCUCUCUCUCCUCAAAGAAAA
Rattus norvegicus (Norway rat) is the source of this 9594-nucleotide non-coding RNA. The record is from RefSeq and is a predicted model, not a curated record. Lineage: Eukaryota; Metazoa; Chordata; Mammalia; Rodentia; Muridae.